This 253-nucleotide ribosomal RNA is filed under the name uncultured bacterium. RNAcentral describes it as "partial 16S ribosomal RNA". It matches the Rfam family "Bacterial small subunit ribosomal RNA", at positions 524 to 776 of the family's 1533-position model. The record is from RNAcentral.
UACGUAGGGUGCAAGCGUUAAUCGGAAUUACUGGGCGUAAAGCGUGCGCAGGCGGUUGUGCAAGUCCGAUGUGAAAUCCCCGGGCUCAACCUGGGAAUGGCAUUUGGGACUGCAAGGCUCGAGUGCGGCAGAGGAGACUGGAAUUCCUGGUGUAGCAGUGAAAUGCGUAGAUAUCAGGAGGAAUACCGAUGGCGAAGGCAGGUCUCUGGGCUGACACUGACGCUCAUGCACGAAAGCGUGGGGAGCAAACAGG